GCUCUCAUGGUGUAAUGGUCAGCGCGCUCGACGCGUAUUCGAGAGGUCUGAGGUUCGAGUCCCGGCGAGGGCA
RNAcentral lists this transfer RNA (73 nucleotides) under Stegodyphus mimosarum. It matches the Rfam family "tRNA". From Rfam's summary of the family: Transfer RNA (tRNA) molecules are approximately 80 nucleotides in length. Their secondary structure includes four short double-helical elements and three loops (D, anti-codon, and T loops). Further hydrogen bonds mediate the characteristic L-shaped molecular structure. tRNAs have two regions of fundamental functional importance: the anti-codon, which is responsible for specific mRNA codon recognition, and the 3' end, to which the tRNAs corresponding amino acid is attached (by aminoacyl-tRNA synthetases). tRNAs cope with the degeneracy of the genetic code in two manners: having more than one tRNA (with a specific anti-codon) for a particular amino acid; and 'wobble' base-pairing, i.e. permitting non-standard base-pairing at the 3rd anti-codon position. The record is from Rfam by way of RNAcentral. Lineage: Eukaryota; Metazoa; Arthropoda; Arachnida; Araneae; Eresidae.